AGCCUUUAGCCAACCAAGUAUUAAAGGUAGUGCCUGCCCAGUGACUAUUUAAACGGCCGCGGUAUCCUAACCGUGCAAAGGUAGCAUAAUCAUUUGCCCCUUAAUUAGGGGCUAGCAUGAACGGCUAAAUGAGGACAUAACUGUCUCAUAAGGCAAGUCAAUGAACCUGAUCCUCCAGUCCAAAAGCUGGAAUAAAACCAUAAGACGAGAAGACCCUGUGGAGCUUCAAAUUCAAAUGCUACUACCAUUAAACUAUGCCACUUAUGGCUCAAAAACGUAAACUAGCAUCCAUUUUUAGUUGGGGCGACUACGGAGCAAAAUAAAACCUCCACGACAAGGACCACUUCCUACAAAGGCCAACAAGCCAAGAUAUUAUGACCCAGUAAUACUGAUCAACGAACCAAGUUACCCCAGGGAUAACAGCGCCAUCCUCUUCAAGAGCCCCUAUCGCCAAGAGGGUUUACGACCUCGAUGUUGGAUCAGGACACCCCAGUGGCGCAGCCGCUACUAAAGGUUCGUUUGUUCAACGACUAAUGUCCU
RNAcentral lists this ribosomal RNA (540 nucleotides) under Teratoscincus roborowskii. RNAcentral's name for it is "partial 16S ribosomal RNA". It matches the Rfam family "Bacterial large subunit ribosomal RNA", at positions 1817 to 2597 of the family's 2925-position model. Lineage: Eukaryota; Metazoa; Chordata; Lepidosauria; Squamata; Sphaerodactylidae. The record is from RNAcentral.